UACGUAGGUGGCAAGCGUUAUCCGGAUUUACUGGGUGUAAAGGGCGUGUAGGCGGGACUGCAAGUCAGAUGUGAAAUUCCAGGGCUCAACCCUGGAACUGCAUUUGAAACUGUAGUUCUUGAGUGAUGGAGAGGCAGGCGGAAUUCCGUGUGUAGCGGUGAAAUGCAUAGAUAUAACUUAGAACACCGAUAGCGAAGGCAGCUUACCAGACUGAGUCUGACGCUGAUGCACGAGAGCAUGGGUAGCGAACAGG
Molecule: ribosomal RNA, 253 nt
Filed under: uncultured Oscillospira sp.
Lineage: Bacteria; Bacillati; Bacillota; Clostridia; Eubacteriales; Oscillospiraceae
Description: partial 16S ribosomal RNA
Rfam family: Bacterial small subunit ribosomal RNA
Source: RNAcentral